ACGCUCGACACCUACGGGAGGCCGCAGUGAGGAAUAUUGGUCAAUGGACGCAAGUCUGAACCAGCCAUGCCGCGUGCAGGAUGACGGCUCUAUGAGUUGUAAACUGCUUUUGUACGAGGGUAAACGCAGAUACGUGUAUCUGUCUGAAAGUAUCGUACGAAUAAGGAUCGGCUAACUCCGUGCCAGCAGCUGCGGUAAUCUGAGCGGGCUGGCAAGGC
Molecule: ribosomal RNA, 218 nt
Filed under: uncultured bacterium
Lineage: Bacteria
Description: partial 16S ribosomal RNA
Rfam family: Bacterial small subunit ribosomal RNA
Source: RNAcentral